RNAcentral lists this ribosomal RNA (253 nucleotides) under uncultured bacterium. Its description in RNAcentral is "partial 16S ribosomal RNA". It matches the Rfam family "Bacterial small subunit ribosomal RNA", at positions 524 to 776 of the family's 1533-position model. The record is from RNAcentral.
GACGGGGGAUGCAAGCGUUAUCCGGAAUCACUGGGCGUAAAGCGUCUGUAGGUGGUGAUGCAAGUCACUGGUGCAAAACUCUGGCUCAACCGGAGGAAAGCCAGUGAAACUGCAUGACUAGAGUGUGGGAGAGGUAGAAGGAAUUCCCUGAGUAGCGGUGAAAUGCGUAGAUACAGGGAAGAACACCGGAGGCGAAAGCGUUCUACUGGAACACAACUGACACUUAGAGACUAAAGCUAGGGGAGCGUAUGGG